This 375-nucleotide ribosomal RNA is filed under the name uncultured bacterium. RNAcentral describes it as "bacterial SSU rRNA". It matches the Rfam family "Bacterial small subunit ribosomal RNA", at positions 521 to 896 of the family's 1533-position model. The record is from RNAcentral.
UAAUACGAGAGGCCCAAACGUUAUUCGGAUUUACUGGGCUUAAAGAGUCCGUAGGCGGCGCAGAAAGUGGGGUGUGAAAUCCCUCGGCUUAACCGAGGAAUUGCGCUCCAAACUCCUGUGCUUGAGGAAUCUAGAGGUGAGCGGAACUGAUGGUGGAGCGGUGAAAUGCGUUGAUAUCAUCAGGAACACCGGAGGCGAAGGCGGCUCACUGGGGAUUUUCUGACGCUGAGGGACGAAAGCCAGGGGAGCGAACGGGAUUAGAUACCCCGGUAGUCCUGGCCGUAAACGAUGAGCACUAGACCGGAGGGCUGCACAGCUUUUCGGUCGUAGCUAAAGUGUUAAGUGCUCCGCCUGGGGAGUAUGGUCGCAAGGCUG